Molecule: long non-coding RNA, 749 nt
Organism: Notolabrus celidotus (New Zealand spotty)
Lineage: Eukaryota; Metazoa; Chordata; Actinopteri; Labriformes; Labridae
Exons: 3
Source: RefSeq, a predicted model, not a curated record
AGGCAGCUACUCAGACUUCACCAAAUAUGACAGACAAAAAAAAAUCACCCUGGCUCUGAUAGAGACAGAGUUGUAAAGCCUCUAGUGUCAGCGCUCCGGGCUUACCGGCUGCCAUUCUCCUUCUCUCCAGCGGUACCGAGAGGGACACUCAGCCACCCGGCAGCUCUGGCUGGACGCAGGUCUUGACCGCUGAGAGCAGCCUCUCUCCUGGGGGCUCUGUCGGCCUCCGACCUGGCAAGAGACCUCCCGACGCUGGAUGCCGUCUCCACACGAUGCAGAACACUAGAAACGGACAAGAAAUUUGAAGAAUGUCAAGAUGGAGGCUGGGAAGUCGAUGACAGAAGUUGAUGGUUGUGAGAAGCAUGUGGUGCAUAAUUUUAAUGGAGUAAUGCAAAUGAAUAUUACUCUUACACAUUAAUUUAUGUUGCCUUGAAACAAGUGUUUUUUUCUUUUUUUGGAACCAUUAAUUUUGUUGGACUGUGAGUCCUUUUAUGUAUAUGUGCACAAGUAAUGAUACUGCUAUCAUACCUGCCCUUUUUGGUAGGAACUGCUCUUAUCAGUGUAGACAAAGAGAUCAGGAAGUGAUAAAAAUGUCCAGACAAUCCAACUGAGGUAAGUUCACAUAAAUCAAUCGAGUCCUGAGUUUCAGCAGCUCAACAUUUUUGUGUCAAUCUACACAAAUGCACAAGUCUUCACAUUUGACAUUCAAUUUUUUCAUUCAUGUAUGUAAAUAUGUGUGUUUGUGUAUG